AUUCGGCAUGAUAACUAGACGACGGUCUCAACAAUCCAACGACUCCAGUCUUUUAAGUUGCCGAUAGAUCAACCUGCGAAGAUCUUACACGUUCUCUGAAUCUCUCUAUGUGGUCUUCGUUUAAUCUCUCGCAACAACU
This 139-nucleotide small nucleolar RNA is filed under the name Diaporthe helianthi. Lineage: Eukaryota; Fungi; Ascomycota; Sordariomycetes; Diaporthales; Diaporthaceae. The record is from RNAcentral.